This 23-nucleotide small nuclear RNA is filed under the name Arabidopsis thaliana (thale cress). RNAcentral describes it as "snRNA_02665". Lineage: Eukaryota; Viridiplantae; Streptophyta; Magnoliopsida; Brassicales; Brassicaceae. The record is from RNAcentral.
AUCUUUAUUCUCUUGAAAGAGAA